This 493-nucleotide ribosomal RNA is filed under the name uncultured bacterium. RNAcentral describes it as "partial 16S ribosomal RNA". It matches the Rfam family "Bacterial small subunit ribosomal RNA", at positions 27 to 507 of the family's 1533-position model. The record is from RNAcentral.
GGAUGAACGCUAGCUACAGGCUUACCACAUGCAAGUCGAGGGGAAACGGCAUUAAGUGCUUGCACUUUUUGGACGUCGACCGGCGCACGGGUGAGUAACGCGUAUCCAACCUUCCCAUGACUAAGGGAUAACCUGCCGAAAGGCAGACUAAUACCUUAUGGUCUUCACUGACGGCAUCAGAUGUGAAGUAAAGAUUUAUCGGUUAUGGAUGGGGAUGCGUCUGAUUAGCUUGUUGGCGGGGUAACGGCCCACCAAGGCAACGAUCAGUAGGGGUUCUGAGAGGAAGGUCCCCCACAUUGGAACUGAGACACGGUCCAAACUCCUACGGGAGGCAGCAGUGAGGAAUAUUGGUCAAUGGGCGAGAGCCUGAACCAGCCAAGUAGCGUGCAGGAUGACGGCCCUAUGGGUUGUAAACUGCUUUUGUAUGGGGAUAAAGUCAAUCACGUGUGAUUGUUUGCAGGUACCAUACGAAUAAGGACCGGCUAAGUCCGUG